CGGGGCGUAGCGCAGCCUGGUAGCGCACCACACUGGGGGUGUGGUGGUCGGAGGUUCAAAUCCUCCCGUCCCGACCA
Molecule: transfer RNA, 77 nt
Filed under: Porticoccaceae bacterium
Lineage: Bacteria; Pseudomonadati; Pseudomonadota; Gammaproteobacteria; Cellvibrionales; Porticoccaceae
Description: tRNA-Pro
Rfam family: tRNA
About the family: Transfer RNA (tRNA) molecules are approximately 80 nucleotides in length. Their secondary structure includes four short double-helical elements and three loops (D, anti-codon, and T loops).
Source: RNAcentral